UUUCAGGCUCAAUUGUGGCCACAAGUUGAGGACUACCUGCAUAUAUUCAUCUGUUUUAGUGCCUUGAUCCCCAAUCUCUAUAAAUUUAACAAUUCAGAUCCAAUUGAUGCAAUAACACCUGCAAUGUCACCUUUUGUAAUCUUAUUAAUGAGCAGUGCAAUUUAAUUGCCCCUAAUAAGAUGGAGGGAGGAAAGGGGAAAGAGAGAUGUAGAGGGGGGAGCAGGAAAGAGGUAGGUAGAAUGAUGGAUAAAGAGGGAGGUGGAUAUAUAUGAGAGAGAAAGAGCAUAGGUAAGAGAUAAAAGGAGAGAGAGAAGGAAAGAGAAACAAAAAGCUAGUAGUCACCAUAGAAAAAACCUUAUACCUUAUUUAAUGGAACAAAUACCCAUUUAGUGAGAGAUUUACUUUCGAAGGAACCCCAAAUCCACCGCCCCCCCCUUCUCCUUCAAAUGGGUUCAGCUACAAAUACCUCACAAGGACCAGUCCUAAUUAACGCAAAUGAAAGAGCGCCAGGCGGGGGGGGGG
Notechis scutatus (mainland tiger snake) is the source of this 522-nucleotide non-coding RNA. The record is from RefSeq and is a predicted model, not a curated record. NCBI's taxonomy places the organism in Eukaryota, Metazoa, Chordata, Lepidosauria, Squamata, Elapidae.